RNAcentral lists this unclassified non-coding RNA (358 nucleotides) under soil metagenome. RNAcentral describes it as "partial contains 5.8S ribosomal RNA, internal transcribed spacer 2, and large subunit ribosomal RNA". The stretch from base 1 to 120 matches the Rfam family "5.8S ribosomal RNA", at positions 35 to 154 of the family's 154-position model. The record is from RNAcentral.
GAUGAAGAACGUAGCGAAAUGCGAUAAGUAAUGUGAAUUGCAGAAUUCAGUGAAUCAUCGAAUCUUUGAACGCACAUUGCGCCCGUCAGUAUUCUGGCGGGCAUGCCUGUUCGAGCGUCAUUACGCCCCUCAAGUCCCCUGUGGACUUGGUGUUGGGGAUCGGCGAGGCUGGUUUUCCAGCACAGCCGUCCCUUAAAUUAAUUGGUGGUCUCGCCGUGGCCCUCCUCUGCGCAGUAGUAAAACACUCGCAACAGGAGCCCGGCGCGGUCCACUGCCGUAAAACCCCCCAACUUUUUAUAGUUGACCUCGAAUCAGGUAGGACUACCCGCUGAACUUAAGCAUAUCAAUAAGCGGAGGA